This 261-nucleotide ribosomal RNA is filed under the name uncultured bacterium. Its description in RNAcentral is "partial 16S ribosomal RNA". It matches the Rfam family "Bacterial small subunit ribosomal RNA", at positions 15 to 272 of the family's 1533-position model. The record is from RNAcentral.
GAUCCUGGCUCAGGAUGAACGCUAGCUACAGGCUUAACACAUGCAAGUCGAGGGGCAGCAUGACCUAGCAAUAGGUUGAUGGCGACCGGCGCACGGGUGAGUAACACGUAUCCAACCUACCGGUUAUUCCGGGAUAGCCUUUCGAAAGAAAGAUUAAUACCGGAUAGUAUAACGAGAAGGCAUCUUCUUGUUAUUAAAGAAUUUCGAUAACCGAUGGGGAUGCGUCCCAUUAGUUUGUUGGCGGGGUAACGGCCCACCAAG